RNAcentral lists this non-coding RNA (31 nucleotides) under Homo sapiens (human). Lineage: Eukaryota; Metazoa; Chordata; Mammalia; Primates; Hominidae. The record is from RNAcentral.
UUGUCUAGAUAUCAAAACACCAGAACACCCA